This is a long non-coding RNA of Pseudoliparis swirei, 1039 nucleotides long. RefSeq lists it as uncharacterized. The record is from RefSeq and is a predicted model, not a curated record. NCBI's taxonomy places the organism in Eukaryota, Metazoa, Chordata, Actinopteri, Perciformes, Liparidae. The transcript has 6 exons.
CGACCACUGAAGACGUUCUUUGGCGGAGACGGAUUGGCGGCAGCGAGAAGGCAGUGCAGGUGUGCGAGUUACUUUCAGGCUUUGAAAAACCUGGCAAUGAAUUAUUCUGGCUGAGUUCUGUCGCUUAUCAAGCAAAAAUCUGAGUUGCAAUCAGAGUUCUUCAAAGAUCUCGACAAAUACACUCCUCGCUUCCUGGAGAAGUUCAAAACCCAGAGGGGGAAAGUGUCGGUCAGAAACUUGAAUAUCUGCAACAAGUCAAACCUGGGAGUACAGAUGUGACUGGGAGGUGAACAGCAGUCCUCCGUGGCUCUCCCGUCAUCCUUGGAGAUGACAACGCAGACUUCUUCAAGAAUUUGAGGUUCAGGAGCAGCCAAUAUGAUGCAGGUGUGACGGCUGAAGAUGGUAGGUACCUGUUCAGCCUCCUGUGGUAGGAGCACAUUUCCCAGAAGCAGCAGUGACAAAGAAAUGUGGAUGUUUACCACGAAUAUGGACUCUGAUGACCUUCUGGACGUGUCCCACGCCUCCAUUGGGACCCUGACGGUGCUGAAGACAUCGUGGCCUCUCCUCACUCGCUGGACCUGGAGUCUACAACUACUGCCAUCGUUUUGGGAGGAGCAGUCGUGAUGGGUGACCGUGAUAAUCUUCCCCGUGCCGUGUGGCUACUCUUCGGACUUAUUUACGCCUGAAUUUGGAGUAUCCUCAACGAGUGAGGAACACCUUCUGAAUUUAUUCAUAGAGUGCUUCUCACUUGGACCAAAAACCCUAAAAUACAAUCACUCAAAAAUCUACUGAUGCCAUAAGGGGCUGUGUUCAUGAUGUGCAGUCAGGCCCGAGAACUUCACCCUUCUAUCUCUUUUCUAGAAAAUGUCUGUUUUUGUUGUUUUUCUGUCGUGAAAUUUAGCAAAUGCCGAAAACUCUGUGUUCAUCAUAUUUCUGCAUUACAAAACCUAAUCUGGCAACAUGUUCAGCGUUUUAAGCACGUUGUUUGAGUUUUAAAACAUGUGUUUUUCUUCUAAAUAAACGUUUUCUUCCAUUGUAA